Small nuclear RNA from Rhinolophus ferrumequinum (greater horseshoe bat), 104 nucleotides. Lineage: Eukaryota; Metazoa; Chordata; Mammalia; Chiroptera; Rhinolophidae. The record is from Ensembl.
GUGCUCACUUCGGCAGCACAUAUACUAUAAUUGAAACGAUACAGAGAUUAGCACGGCCCCUGCGUGAGGAUGACACGCAAAUUUGUGAAGCAUUCCAUAUCUUU